This 688-nucleotide ribosomal RNA is filed under the name unidentified microorganism. Its description in RNAcentral is "bacterial SSU rRNA". It matches the Rfam family "Bacterial small subunit ribosomal RNA", at positions 53 to 719 of the family's 1533-position model. The record is from RNAcentral.
ACAUGCAAGUCGAGCGAAUGGAUUGGAGAGCUUGCUCUNNANGAAGUUAGCGGCGGACGGGUGAGUAACACGUGGGUAACCUGCCCAUAAGACUGGGAUAACUCCGGGAAACCGGGGCUAAUACCGGAUAAUAUUUUGAACUGCAUGGUUCGAAAUUGAAAGGCGGCUUCGGCUGUCACUUAUGGAUGGACCCGCGUCGCAUUAGCUAGUUGGUGAGGUAACGGCUCACCAAGGCAACGAUGCGUAGCCGACCUGAGAGGGUGAUCGGCCACACUGGGACUGAGACACGGCCCAGACUCCUACGGGAGGCAGCAGUAGGGAAUCUUCCGCAAUGGACGAAAGUCUGACGGAGCAACGCCGCGUGAGUGAUGAAGGCUUUCGGGUCGUAAAACUCUGUUGUUAGGGAAGAACAAGUGCUAGUUGAAUAAGCUGGCACCUUGACGGUACCUAACCAGAAAGCCACGGCUAACUACGUGCCAGCAGCCGCGGUAAUACGUAGGUGGCAAGCGUUAUCCGGAAUUAUUGGGCGUAAAGCGCGCGCAGGUGGUUUCUUAAGUCUGAUGUGAAAGCCCACGGCUCAACCGUGGAGGGUCAUUGGAAACUGGGAGACUUGAGUGCAGAAGAGGAAAGUGGAAUUCCAUGUGUAGCGGUGAAAUGCGUAGAGAUAUGGAGGAACACCAGUGGCGAA